CCGGGUCACAGCUGUGACACAUAACUGCCAGCUGAGGGGCCUUGACACCUCCCACUGCUCCCCCCAGGCCUCAGUUUCCUCACCUGUAAAGAGAAGGAGCUGUGGGUCCUUCUGAGGUCAAAUGGUCAGUGACUUCAUAAUCAGAUAAUGGCAACAUGGCUGCCACGACUCAAACCGGAUUUUCACCCAAGGCGACGCAUCCCAGUCUAGAGUGAGCCGAGAGGGGUCCUAGAGCAGCUCAGUGGAGCGGCACGGAAUCUCACUGACCGACCCAGCACUCACCAGCCAGCGAGGCCGGCAGUUCUCACCCUGCAGGGGCACUGGCCAGACCCUCAGAUUAACCGAGCGGUCACUUUUCCACUCUCCAGGAAAUAACUUGCUCUUGGUUUCUUCCAUGUUCUCCCUACGGUCCCCUCAGAGCACCCUGUGGCUGGUGAACCAGAAUCAAAAAGGAAGCAGGAGAAGAAGUCUGCCACAUCCUCAGGGUAAAGGCAGAAGAGAGGCCUGGCCUGUGACCAACGACGGUGGUGGCACCCAGGUCCCAGCAGUGACCAGUCUGAGUGUGACCAGUGCAGCCAAACAGGGCUGCCUGGGCCCUUUCCAAAACCAGCCAGUGGUAUACACAGAACACAAAGGAAUAUUAUACAGCUGCCAAAAGGAACAGAAUUUUGAUAUGUGCUACAACAUCGAUGGACCUUGAACACAUGGUGAGUGAAAUGAGUCUGACGCAGAAAGACAAAUGCCGCACGAUUCCACUUAUAUGAGGGACUCAGAGUAGGCAGAUGCGCUGAGACAGAAAGCAGAAGAGAGGUUGCCAGGGGCUGGGCUGGGGGAGGGGAGAGUUACUGUUUAAGGGGCACAGAUAAUGGGCACGGAGUUUAUGCUCGGGUGAUAAAAAGCUCUGACUAGAGAUAAUGAUGAUGGUUGUGCCACACUGGGAAUAUACACUUACAAAUGCUUAAACUGAGAAAUAUCACGUUGUGCGUAUUUUGCCACAUUUAAAACAAACCAACCAACCAAGACCAACUUUAUGGAACAGGCACUUGGUCUUGGCACCAGAAAUGAGGAGGGGGUGUGGAGGGAGAGCAGUUUGCUGGGGGAGGGGAAGCUUCCAGUCUGGGCUUAUCACACGGUGGGGCGCAGAAACCUGGGCUGGGCAGGGCUUUGGGGAGACCUGGAGAAGGUGUGGGGCCCUGCCGUUCACCAAACGUGGCCUCCAGGGGCCCCCAGCACUGCUCUGGAGCCUGCGGCUCACCCACAAGGAGUCAUCUUCAGCAGAUUAGGCAAAUGAGCAGCCCCAGCCUGUUCCUGUGCCACCAGCAGGUGACAAAUGGUCAUUAGUAAGGAGGAAAGCAUGGUCCAUUUGUCAUCUCUGACAUCAGCAGUCCAGAAGGCCCUGUUGACUGCGGGGUUCCCUUCCCGAGGGAUGUGGCUGGCUACUCGCCAAGCCCGCCCUGGGAUCUUUCAAAGCCGUUCAGUUCACACGGAGCGAGCACAGCCCGGGGGACUGCAGCAACAUCAUUUUAACACUUCAUUACUUUGCUUCCUCAUUCACAAGACAGCUGCAUCCGAUGCAAUUUGUCAUUUCAUUAGGCAAUAAAUAUUGAAAUCAGCAAACAAACCAACGUGUGCAAGCACAGCUCAGCUGGCGGCAGCGAACUGAGCUGAUGCAGAGGGCACGGCGCAGCAGGGCCACCCAUCCACCUCACCCCUCACUUCUUCCUCAAAACCACACGUUCAUGUCGCAUCCUCCACCGCUGCCAUCUCCAGCCACAAGUACACACUACUGGGUGAUUUUGACACCAUGCUGUCAGCCCUUUAUUAUAAAGACACAGAAGCCCCUUUCUCAGGUCUCUGGCAGGCAACCCAGUCAGAAAACGGAAUUGUUUCCCUGCCUCCCUGUUUGCAGGCCCCUGGCAAUGCUCACCUGGCGCGGGACUUUGUAAUGCUCCGAGUGUCUCCUGUGCUGAGGGGAAGGCGGGAUAGGACUGUGAGUGAGGAGAGAGCCUGGGGGAUUCCGGACAAGGGGAGCAUGAUGAUACCGGUGCAGCCGCGGAGGCUGAGCUGGGAAAGACAGCAGGAUUGGAAGGGGCAUGGUGGGAGACGGAAGGUCAUUUCAGACCAGGGCAACAAGGAAUGAGGCAAGGAGAACUGGGGCCUGGCCCGGGGGCAGCAAAGAGACCCGCUGACCAGAGCAGAGACACUGCUGGGGUCAGGUCGCCAGGAGAAGGCGGGCUGAUGACACGGGGUCCUGGAGCUCUGCAGAGGACGGGACGGGCCCUGGCUGUGGAGGAUAGCCCACUGGGCACCUCUCCAGACAGGCGGUCAGGAAAGGAGAUGACCAAGGUCCACUUCCCACGCGGGACCUCUUCUAGCAUCAUCAUCGUUAGGACCACACUUAGCACUCAUGGUACACAAACCCCGUGCCACAGCAUCCUCUCUCUCCCUCACACACACUCAGACACAACACUGACACAGAUGCUCACACACUCUGAUACUCAGCUCUGCUCCGUCUCUUGCAGCCAGUUGGGGUGACUGAGGCAGAAAGGGUACCAGGCAGCCCCUGUGGGGUUCCUGUAGGAGAAAGUGGGGAUGGUGAAUGGUAAGACCUGCCAGCGAUCACAUGCUCCGCCCACAGGCACGUCUAUAAAGGGAAAGGGAAAAGCUGCAUCGAACUGAGCAUCCUGGAUGGGAGGACAGGAAAACACCUGCGUGACAUCCACCGAACACCUCCUUUGGGUGGGCAUACACCUGUUAUGGAGUUUAACUCUGAAACAGCCAUAUGAGGUACGCGCCUUUACCCCAGAGAGGUUAAGUCACCUGCCCAAGGUGACUCAGCCAGCAAGUGACACAGUUGAGACUGAAACCCAGAUCUGCACCUUUUUUCCUUCCUCUCCAGCUGCCUCCCUUAGCAGAGUCAGGAAAGCCAGCAGAGCUUCUCUACAACCCACUGAGUCACAGACUGUCUUCUAAGCCUUUCAGACUCAGUGCUCCUUCCACUCCUCCACCCAAAGGCAGUACACAGAUCUGGUAGUAGUCAUUUACACUUUAGUGUAAAUUUAAGUUCGAGUGCUACUUGUCCAAAGAGUAAUUUGCACGUUACCCCUCCACUCUAAGGGAUUCGGGGUCGGGGUGGGGGGUGGGCACAAACAUGCAGUCCAUCUCAGGAAUGAAACUUGUUAAAGAAACCCGAGGUAUAAGUGAGUAGCUGCAGGGAGACUAACAUAGCAGCCUUGAACUCCUACUAGUGGAGAAUCAAAUGCUCAUCUUAGACAUCCAGUUACCCGUCCCCAGUCUUCGUCAGGCCAUUGCCAAUUCCUCUCAGCAAUGACAUAAAUUCAUCCAUCACAAGAUGAGACAAGUCAUCCCAAUGUCGUUUUAAACCUGUUUUUCUUUUUCUGAACUUUUUCUUUUACAUAUACACGAAUAAAUUUUUACAAAAAUGCUUAGGUGGAAACGUAUCCAUCAUCUCAGUCACACUGUAGUUUUAUUGAUCUUGCUUUUUAUUUUUUUGGCUUUUGGCUCUCCCUCCCUCUUUCCCCACAACUGUGUCCUGUUGGUCUAUUUCUCUGUAAAACCCAGACUAAGACAGAUUUGAGAAGCCAGACAAAUAUACCCACAAACCCCAAGUGAAGAAUUUAGCUCGUACGCAUCCGUAUUUUCUUCCAUGCCCAUAGAAUCCUUUACAGACCAGGGCCCUGUCAGGAGCGAGGGUCAGGCAAGGAUCAGGGUUUUUCUAAGUGAGGAGUCAAGGUCUGGCUCCCGAUAACCUGGGAAAUGCUCCCCUCACCGCCCCCCCCCCCCCACAAGGUGUGCCCGUCUCCCUUCUCCACUUACUCCAGUGCGCACACUUGCAGCUCCACCAAGAAGUCACUCCUGGAACCUUAACUGAAAAGGUCCUGGGGCGCUGAACUGAAAGCAUUCGGUCACCAAAAUAGUGCUGCCGCUGACAGACGUAGCUGAGCAGCCUCCCGGGGUGGGGAGCACGGACAAACUCAGCCCUGGCGACACACAGAUCAGCAAUGACAGGGCAGGGGCUCAAGAAGACCCCAGCUCUGUGACCGAGAAAGCAUCGUAAGCCCCAUUGGAGAAUGUGGAUGUUUGUCUUACGAGGAAGACCAGACACGCGACCUGAACCUCAAGCAACGAUAAGAAGCGUGUACUUGAAAUUUAUCUUUAUUUUAACGAAUAAGGAAUAGACUCAGAAAGUUCGUAACCUAAUUGUUCAAGUCAUGUGGCUGGCAAGUGGUGGCGUUUAAAGGCUGGGAAGUCCAAGAUCAAGGCGCUAGAAGAUGUGGUGUCUGGUGAGGACCUGCUUCCUGGUUCUUAGAAGGCCGUCUUUUCUCUGUAGCCUCCCAUGGCAGAAUGGGAUUAUAAGGACACUAAUCCCAUUCAUGGGGGCUCCACCCUCAUGACCUAAAGGCCUCCCAAAGGCCCCACCUGCCCAUACCAUCACACCUGGGCUUAGGAUUUCAACAUAUGAAUUUGGGGGAGACACACAUUCAG
Equus caballus (horse) is the source of this 4506-nucleotide long non-coding RNA. The record is from Ensembl. Lineage: Eukaryota; Metazoa; Chordata; Mammalia; Perissodactyla; Equidae.